RNAcentral lists this ribosomal RNA (504 nucleotides) under Anopheles nimpe. RNAcentral describes it as "partial 16S ribosomal RNA". It matches the Rfam family "Bacterial large subunit ribosomal RNA", at positions 1830 to 2594 of the family's 2925-position model. Lineage: Eukaryota; Metazoa; Arthropoda; Insecta; Diptera; Culicidae. The record is from RNAcentral.
GUCUUUUUGUAUUUUAUUUAAAGUCUAACCUGCCCACUGAUUUUUAAAGGGCCGCGGUAUUUUGACCGUGCGAAGGUAGCAUAAUCAAUAGUCUUUUAAUUGAAGGCUGGUAUGAAUGGUUGAAUGAGAUAUAUACUGUUUUUUUAAAAUUUAAAUAGAAUUUUAUUUUUUAGUUAAAAAGCUAAAAUUGAAUUAAAGGACGAGAAGACCCUAUAGAUCUUUAUUUUUAUAAAUUAUAAAUUAUAAAGAAUUUUAAAAUUUAUAUUUUAGAUAAAAUUUUACUGGGGUGGUAUUAAAAUUUAAUUAACUUUUAUUUAUUUUUAACAUUGAUUUAUGAAUUUAAGAUCCUGUAUUAUGGAUUAAAAAAUUAAGUUACCUUAGGGAUAACAGCGUAAUUUUUUUAGAGAGUUCAUAUCGAUAAAAAAGAUUGCGACCUCGAUGUUGGAUUAAGAGUUAUUUUUAGGUGUAGAAGUUUAAAGUUUAGGUCUGUUCGACCUUUAGAUU